AGAACGAACGCUGGCGGCAUGCCUAACACAUGCAAAUCGAACGAUGCUUUCGGGCAUAGUGGCGCACGGGUGCGUAACGCGUGGGAAUCUGCCCUUAGGUUCGGAAUAACAGUUAGAAAUGACUGCUAAUACCGGAUGAUGACGUUAAGUCCAAAGAUUUAUCGCCUGAGGAUGAGCCCGCGUAGGAUUAGCUAGUUGGUGUGGUAAAGGCGCACCAAGGCGACGAUCCUUAGCUGGUCUGAGAGGAUGAUCAGCCACACUGGGACUGAGACACGGCCCAGACUCUACGGGAGGCAGCAGUGGGGAAUAUUGGACAAUGGGCGCAAGCUGAUCCAGCAAUGCGCGCGUGAGUGAUGAAGGCCUUAGGGUUGUAAAGCUCUUUUACCCGAGAUGAUAAUGACAGUAUCGGGAGAAUAAGCCCCGGCUAACUCCGUGCCAGCAGCCGCGGUAAUACGGAGGGGGCUAGCGUUGUUCGGAAUUACUGGGCGUAAAGCGCACGUAGGCGGCUUUGUAAGUUAGAGGUGAAAGCCUGGAGCUCAACUCCAGAACUGCCUUUAAGACUGCAUCGCUUGAAUCCAGGAGAGGUGAGUGGAAUUCCGAGUGUAGAGGUGAAAUUCGUAGAUAUUCGGAAGAACACCAGUGGCGAAGGCGGCUCACUGGACUGGUAUUGACGCUGAGGUGCGAAAGCGUGUGAGCAAACAGGAUUAGAUACCCUGGUAG
This 720-nucleotide ribosomal RNA is filed under the name uncultured bacterium. Its description in RNAcentral is "bacterial SSU rRNA". It matches the Rfam family "Bacterial small subunit ribosomal RNA", at positions 26 to 793 of the family's 1533-position model. The record is from RNAcentral.